Molecule: ribosomal RNA, 543 nt
Filed under: uncultured archaeon
Lineage: Archaea
Description: bacterial SSU rRNA
Rfam family: Archaeal small subunit ribosomal RNA
Source: RNAcentral
CGGGGUGCAGCAGGCGCGAAAACUUUACAAUGCGGGAAACCGUGAUAAGGGGACACCGAGUGCCAGCAUCAUAUGCUGGCUGUCCAGGUGUGUAAAAUACACCUGUUAGCAAGGGCCGGGCAAGACCGGUGCCAGCCGCCGCGGUAACACCGGCGGCCCGAGUGGUGAUCGUGAUUAUUGGGUCUAAAGGGUCCGUAGCCGGUUUGGUCAGUCCUCCGGGAAAUCUGAUAGCUCAACUAUUAGGCUUUCGGGGGAUACUGCCAGACUUGGAACCGGGAGAGGUAAGAGGUACUACAGGGGUAGGAGUGAAAUCUUGUAAUCCCUGUGGGACCACCUGUGGCGAAGGCGUCUUACCAGAACGGGUUCGACGGUGAGGGACGAAAGCUGGGGGCACGAACCGGAUUAGAUACCCGGGUAGUCCCAGCCGUAAACGAUGCUCGCUAGGUGUCAGACAUGGCGCGACCGUGUCUGGUGCCGCAGGGAAGCCGUGAAGCGAGCCACCUGGGAAGUACGGCCGCAAGGCUGAAACUUAAAGGAAUGGCG